UAUUGGACAAUGGGGGAAACCCUGAUCCAGCGACGCCGCGUGAGUGAAGAAGUAUUUCGGUAUGUAAAGCUCUGUCAGCAGGGAAGAAAGAAAUGACGGUACCUGACCAAGAAGCCCCGGCUAACUACGUGCCAGCAGCCGCGGUAAUACGUAGGGGGCAAGCGUUAUCCGGAUUUACUGGGUGUAAAGGGAGCGUAGGCGGUUCAGCAAGUCAGAAGUGAAAGCCCGGGGCUCAACUCCGGGACUGCUUUUGAAACUGUUGAACUAGAUUGCAGGAGAGGUAAGUGGAAUUCCUAGUGUAGCGGUGAAAUGCGUAGAUAUUAGGAGGAACACCAGUGGCGAAGGCGGCUUACUGGACUGUAAAUGACGCUGAGGCUCGAAAGCGUGGGGAGCAAACAGG
RNAcentral lists this ribosomal RNA (400 nucleotides) under uncultured bacterium. Its description in RNAcentral is "bacterial SSU rRNA". It matches the Rfam family "Bacterial small subunit ribosomal RNA", at positions 362 to 776 of the family's 1533-position model. The record is from RNAcentral.